Molecule: long non-coding RNA, 8515 nt
Filed under: Homo sapiens (human)
Lineage: Eukaryota; Metazoa; Chordata; Mammalia; Primates; Hominidae
Description: HSALNT0359444
Source: RNAcentral
GGAAGUGCCUCGCGACGCGGGGCCGCCACCGCCGCCGGGCCGAGGGAGGGCCCGGCAACCGCCGCCUGCGCGCCGGCUGCCCCUCGGCUCCUGGGAGCCGCGGCGCUACGGGCCUGCCGAGCACUCGGGCGGGCGCCGAGCAGGCUGGGCCCCGGCGCAGUGGCCUAGCCUGGACCGCAAGGCCGAAGCCGCCUCCGGGCCGCGUCCCGGUGUUUCGGGUUGUGUAACCUUGGCCAAAAUGCUUAAGCUUUUUUCCUGGCUGCCAAAUGGGGCCGAUCGUCUGACCUGCUGCCUCCGGAACUUGAGGGAUCAGAUCAAAUAACCCUUUCCUGGCGCUCGUCUGCCGCUGUGAAUGAAUCACGGGCUCCUGUAAUCACCGUUAGGAGAGAUUGUUAAACUCGUACAGGGUUGGAUGUUUUAAAGUUACUGAAUAUUUACUGGACCCCUACUGUUCAAUCAAGACAUGCUAAGUUAGCUUGCCAUUCUUGUUCAUUUAUGUGUUUACUUAACUAUUUCUGGGUCUCCUCUUCCCAGUCAUAAAUAUCUCUUGGAGUGUAAGCUCCUCGGAGCAGAGAUCCUGUUUCCGUAUUUCCUGUACCUAGAACAGUGCCAGAUCCGUAGUAGACACUGAAACAAAAAAUCUUUAAAAAAAAAAAAAUAUACGAAUGUGGCACCACCAUUUACACAGGCCACUAAGCCAAAAAUCUCGAACUUGUCAGAUUGUCUCUUCUCAGCCAUCAGCAGUCAACAAGUUCUAGCAUUUGGUCUCUUAAAAGUGGUUCAAGAGUUUAUUUUUCCUCUCCUUCCUCUGCCAGUACCAACCAGUCUUCCGUAUCACUAUGUAUUGCAAGAGUCUCACAAGAAGAUAUCCAUCACUGACUGAUCUUCCUCCCGUUUAACAUCCCCAACAGGUGCCAGGGUGAUGUUUUUUUUAUUCUAAAAAGAAACCAGAUUAUAUCGCUCACUCCCUUGCUUAAAACAGUUCUUCAAUGUUAGGUAAAUAAAUCAUGGAGUCACCACGAGGGCGUUCAUCUGCCAGGCACUAUUCUGAACGAUAUUGGCUCAUUAAAUUCUCACAGAAACCCUAUGCAGCAGGUACGGUGAAAAUGUUCCUGUUACAGAUGAGGUAACUGAAGCACAGAGAGCUUGAGUGGCUUGCUGAAACACCAGACCCACUCAGUCUGGCUCCAUAAUAGGUCUUUUUGCUGGUAAUGAUUUACCAACUAUACAGCCACUUUAAAAAAAGGAAAUAGGUAAGUACUGGCAUGGAAUGAUAACCAAGAGGUUCUGUUAAAUUUUCAAGUUGAAGAAAAUAAGAGUUUAACUUCAUUUUAUAUGGCAAUAUGUUAGUCUGCCCAUAGAAAACAAUCUGAAAGAUUAUAACAAACUACUAUCAGUGGUUAACUUUCUACUUUGUACAUGCCUAUAAAUGUUUGGUUAUUUUUUACAGUGAGCAUGUGCUAACUAUGUAAUCAGAAAAAAAGUUCCCUGCUAAAGGAUAAAGUCCAAAUUUUUGCCUAUUUUAUCCCUAAUUUAUUUCCCUAACUUUACCUUCCACCAAUUUCUAUGCUCUGCAUUCACCCGUAUAUAUUUUUACACCUCUGUGCCUUUGCUCUUUAUACUCCCUUUAUCUGGCAUGCUCUGCUUCACCUUGUGCCUUAGAUAUUAUCCUUUCAGACCUAGCUGAUGAUCACCUCCUCAGUGAAACCUUGCAUGAUCCCUUGAGAAAUGGAGCAUUCCUUCUUUGGGAUUUCAAUAGCAUUUGGCGUGUUGUGUUGUAAUUAUCUAUUCACAUUUCCUCUUCUACACUGCAUUCGGACCUUUUUGAUUGCAGGGACUAUGAUUUGUUUGUCUUUAUAUCUGUCCCAGCUGCUGAGAUAGUGCUUGUCACAUCAUAGGUAUUCAACUCUUUGCUGAAUGAAUGAAGACAUUAACAAGUGAAAAGUCAAAUAGCAUAGCAAGAUUUGAAGAAUGCUUUCUAGAUAGUGUAAGAAACAUCACAAAGCAGUACAUGAUUAAUUGCUGAAUGAAUCAUACACCAGUAAUUGCUGUAGAAAUCAGAGGAGGCAUCUUAUACAUCUUUGUAUAUCCUCCCGAGCACCUAGCAGGGUGACUUGCUCAUAGUGAAAGCUCAGUCAAUUCUGUGAAUGAAUAAUCACUGCUCUUGAAUGAAGUGAUGAUGUGCAAUUGAAGAACAAGCCGUGUAAGUGCUACAUUAAGAUGGAUGUGUAGUUUCUUAAGUAUCCAUCACCACCCUCCACAGAUUUGAGGUAGUAUGCAUGUGGCAGGUGUUUUGGGGAGGACUGGGUUGGCAAAUGCUUGGAGGUAGGGAGGACACAAGAAAAAGUAUAUUCAUUUAGGGAGGAUAGAUUAAAACCAGGAAACUACACACACAACAAAGAACAGGCAUGACAGUGUACUUUUAAAAAGGAACACAAAAGCUGGCCAACUGUGCAAAUGGUCAACAGGCAGUAAAAGCAAUGGGCAAUGAGAGAAGUGGAAAGAAACCCUAUUUCAGAGGAGUAUUUGGGAAAAUUUAAUGGAUGGAAGAGCAGGUAGAGCCAUUAAUUCAACGAUUAUUUAUUAAGCCUCUACUAUGUACCAGGCACUCUGGUAGGUACUAGGGGAAUUAUGCUGAUAAAUGGCAUUAGGUGAUACAAGUCUGACAGCAGUAGGUGUGGAAAGAAGGAAAGGGAGAUAAAGUAACUGAUUAGAGUAAAAGAAGUGUGGCUUCAAAGAUCCUAGGUGCCUGAUGACCUCAACAGGACAAAACAGGGCUCAGGUCACCAUCAAAAUUAGGGUUGUUUCACUAAACUGGGGAGUGAAAAACAUUAACAUACCUUAUUUCACCACUUAUUUCAUCUGGGUGAAUGACCUCAUUCCCUGACACCAAAAAGGAUGGCAGCGGUGGGGAGAAAAUGCCGGUGAAAGGCAUUUCCCACCUCCCCCAGUGGCUAUACAGCCUCUUUUCUAUGGUAGCUCUAAUAAGACUCCAUUUUGGUUAAAGAGCUUAUGACCAGCAAGCAAUCCAGAAAACCAAAAUGUCAGUCUUUUAUUUUCAUUCUGGGUAAACAUGAUCAUCAAAACUAUUAGGUAUGGGGGCUAGGCACAGUGGCUCACCCCUGUAAUCCCAGUACUUUGGGAGGCCGAGGUGGGCAGACUGCUUGAGCUCAGGAGUUCAAGACCAACCUGGACAACAGAGUGACACCUCUGUCUCUUCAAAAAAUACAAAAAAAAAAAAGUAUCUGGGCAUGCUGGCACGUGCCUGUGGUCCCAGCUCCUCAGGAGGCUGAGGUAGGAAGAUGGCUUGAACCUGGGAGGUGGAGGUUGCAGUGAGCUGAUUGUGCCACUGCACUCCAGCCUGGGUGACAGAGCCAGACCCUGUCUCAAAAAAAAAAAAAAAAAAAAAGUAUUAGGGUAUGGAUUGACCACAUAUCUUCUGAUUUCUAUCAUCAGCUACUUUUUCUUUGAAAUUCUAUUUCUUCCUUCUACUUUGUUAUGUUUGUCUUGCCAGUUAUGUACUUCAGCAGGGUGGGCGACAGUUCGUCUAUUGCUAUUUGCCAUUUUCCACCUCCACCGUUUCUGUUCUGGCUGUAAUGUUCUAGACACAGAUCUUCAUGAUUGCUCUGAGUUCUUUCUUUAGGAAGCCAUUACUGAGAACAUUUAGUUCUUGGACUGAAGAGCAACUAAGGCCAUUAGUUUCUUUGUGUGGUUCCUCUUUCACUGUCUCUCAGUUUUUUAACUGAUAUAACAGUGAGACAGAGCAAGGAACAGCAGGUGCCACAUAAUAAAAAGAGCCUUGCCAAUUAGGUGGUGAUGCCACUAAGGCUGUCUCCCUGCUUCUUCCGACAAAGCGAUUCCACACCCUCUUUCUGAGACUUAGACUUAACAGAGUUGAAGAGACCUAGACUGUUACCAAAGACACAACUCUCCACUUCGUAGGUGAUGAAACAUAGAACAAGGUAGUCAAGUUAUGUGAACUCGUCAAGUAAGUAGCACACCAAAAUAAAAGACCAGGUUUCCUGGCUUCCGAAACAAUCUCUUCCCUAUACCAUGCUAACUCUUACUGCAGAGAUAGCAAAGACAUUUUAUCCUAAAUGGGCUUUGGCGACUAGCCUAAAUAUUAAAUUUGAACUCAAUUGAACAUGGACACAAACGAUGGUCACCAAGUCCCAGAACGGAUUGUGUGAGCUCUUUGAGGCGUUCAUCCAGCGUUGUUUCGGAGAAAUCUCUAUUUCAAUCUAUUCCUAUACAUUAGUUAUUGAAAAACAAUAGACAACCGCAAAAACAAGUUGACCUUUUUGUGUUCCUUGAUCCUGGUCACAAAGGGCCCUUGUGACUGGACCUCAUGCCAAACAACUCGUUACAAAAAGAGCUAGGGUUCCAGACUGCGCCGAAGCUUCAUGAGACCUCUCCUUGUCUGCAUGGACGAGUGGCCAACUCUGGAGCCCAGGCUGUUGCUUCCCAGUCUGGUGGUGAAUCCUCCAUAGUCUGGUGAGUGUAAAUACAUAUAUAUAUCUUUUCCCUUCUCCCUUCCCAUUGCAAUUUGCUUAUUAUAUCAUUUGCUUAUAUCUGCACUGCCAUUUGGGAUAAAGCUUGUUUACCCUUAAAGGUAUUGUGUGUGUGUCUCCUCCCGCGCGCAUUUCCCACACAGAACACCUAAGAACCUAUUUUUUAUGAUUUUUACGAGAAGUGAAUUCCAAGUUGUGCCUCAGAAUUCAGAAUAUAUCUUUCAACCUCCUACUCAUCCCCUCACCACCCUGGUGAACACAGUGUCUGGCCAGCAGGAAUGAAUGAAGAAGACUAUUUUAUGUUCUUAAUAACUUGCUUGGAAAUGAACAGAGCACAAUUUAUCAAACCAAAGCAAAUAUUUAUACAGGCAGAUCCCUUAAAAUUGAGGAUUAAUGCUUAGGAAGAAUUUUUUAGAAUUUUCCAAAUUAACCACUUGUCUUUCUCAGAAAUAAAUCUGUUACUGAUGCUUCCUCCACCAACCAGCUGCAAAACCACACACUAUUCUUUGAAGGAGGAACACAGAAAACCAACUUACUUCCUGGGGCAUUUGGGAGAGGAAUCUAAAAAUCCUAGUGAUAUGGCAAUGACUAGAACCUUUUUUUUUUUUGUAACAACAAAGCUAAAAGGGGAUGUGUAACUUAGCUUGACUUGUAAAAAUAUUCGUAGAAGUCAUCUAUAUUUUACCACUUUGUGUAACUAAGGCAGAGCAUUAGAGAUUAUUCACAUCAUUAAAUAUGUCCAGUUAAAUUAUUAGAUUACAACACCAACCUCUUGUUCAUAGUCUCUCAGUCUUCAGCUGGGCACGGGGGCUCACGCCUGUAAUGCCACCACUUUGGGAUGCCGAGACGGGCGGAUCACUUGAGGUCAGGAGUUUGAGACCAACCUGGGCAACAUGGUGAAACCCCGUCUCUACUAAAAAUACAAAAAUUAGCUAGGCGUGGUGGCAGGUGCCUAUAAUCCCAGCCACUCGGGAGGCUGAGGCGGGAGAAUCACUGGAACCCAAGAGGUGGAAAUUGCAGUAAGCCAAGAUGGCACCACUGCACUCCAGCCUGGGUGACAAGAGCAAAACUCUUGUCUCAAAAAAAAAAAAAAAAAAAUAGUCUCUCAGUCUUCAUACUUUGUUGCUUAGUUGGAUUAUCUGCUCCUAGGUUUUAAUAUAAGAUGAAAUAAAAGUGCUGGCCUAGGAAUUGGAGGCCAAUUUACCUUAGGGGCAAAGGCAAUGGUGGUGAAUAUACCCAACAGCUUCACUUUCUAUGGAGCCAGCUUGUAAAAUCUUGGGCAAGGAUGGUGGCAGCAGAGCUGUCUGCCUAAGCAUCAUGUAGAAAAUUUUUUAAUGGUUUCUUUGGACCCUAGCUUGCAGUGUCAUUUCUGCUUCUCAUUGUAUUGGAAAUCCAUGGUUUUGUUACAUAAUGUACUCCUAAAAAUGUAUACACAUGUGUUGAGUAUGUGGAAGUUGAAUAUAUUUAUGUUAUAAAUGAGCAGUUCUGUUUCUGGAAAAUGAAAAUUUUCACCUCAUCACUACAGACAUUCUUUGAUAACACAGUCCCAGUGUUUCAUCCAGAUUAUUUCAUUUUCUUCUUUUACAUAUAACCAACCAUUUUGGAUGUUAAAGGAACAACCAGUGAGGGCUUAAGAUCUGCUGCUUUUGACUUGGCACUCCUGAUCAGUUCCAUCCGUGUCUCAAGUGUAUCACAUUCACGAGACAAGGCUUCUCAUCAGCAAUUUCAAUUUUAUGUUUUCUACUUAUUUUUAUAUAAGAAUACAAUGCAACAAAAUAUUCAUAUAUUGCACAAACAGUGAUGUGCAUACAAAGAUGCUAACAACAUUGGCUGGUAAUAGGCUUUACCAUGUUACGAUCUAAAUGCUUGUUCAUCAGAGAAUGUACAAAAUUCUAAGUUUGGCAUCCAAAAGGGGGCUUACAGUUAUUGAAUAUUUUUCCCAGCCCUAUUUUAAAUCAAAUUCAAGUUUGCCUAUGACAAAGACUGUCUAUAAGUAACAGGGCAAGCAUACCAACAUCAAAAUUAUUCUUCUUCUUAUCUCACGUGCCCCUAUUUCUCCCAAAUAAGUGACAAGGAGAGUAAAAGGAUCACUGAGGGAACAUUUGAAGAAUGCUACUAAGUGCCAGGUCCUGUACAAGGUAAUUAAUUACUACAAACACUCUCGUGAUGGACAUGGCCAAUAGUGUAUUUUGUCAAAAAACAAAAACAAAACCCAAGAUUCCAGAAGCUGUUUCUGACAAGAAGUCCUUGUUUCAGUACUCUUCAGUAUGAGUCCUUACUUGCAGGACUGAGGAAUGAAAUUGAGAAAGAACCUUUAAUCAUUAGAAAAGGACCCAAUAAAACUAUACUUAAAUGGAUCAUUAAUGUGGAUUUUUUUACAUUCGUGUGGGAUAGAGAAUAAUCCCAUGGGAAACAAACACAUUUUGAAUAUUUUUUAAAGAAGUAUUUCUGAUUCUAAUUUUACUGUAUGUUUAGGCAUCAUUAAGGACCUCUGAUUUGAAGGUAGAUUUAUGUGCCAGGGACUCCAAAUUCAUGACAUGUUUUAAGGCUCCAUAUUCCAUGCAAAAAUGGACUUACUGAGCAUGGUGGUAAUAAUAAGUAUGUAAAAAAUAGAUAACUACAGUCGUACUUUGGUAUCCAUGGGGGAUUGGUUCCAGGAUCCCCCAGUAUCAAAAUCCACAAAUGCUCAAGUCCCAUAUAUAAAAUAGCAUAGUAUUUGCAUAUAACCUAUGCACAUCCUCCUGUAUGCUUUAAAUCAUUUCUAGAUUUCUUAUAAUAUCUAAUACAAUGCCUACACAUCACUUCAUUUACAUGAAUUCAACAUACUUCUUGGCAUGCAGCAAAUUCAAGUUUUGCUUUUUGAAACUUUGUAGAUUUUUUUUCAAAUAUUUUUGAUCCAAGGUUGGUUGAAUCCACGGACACAGAACCCAUGGAUUUGAAAGGCUGACUGUAUUUCUAUUUUAGGUUUGUUUUUCCUCCUCAGAAGCCUCAACGAAGAAAAAGUCAAAGGUCCUUCUCUCUCUAUGACCAGAAAUAAAACCUAUAAAGGAAAUAGAGCACUAAGUGGGGUCCCUGGAAUCCCCAGCUUCUGGUUUCCAGCCACUUCUAGAUGUUCUCUGGAAACAUAACUGCGUUGAAACCAUACUGAAGUAUAAAUUCCCAAAUUGGAAAGAAAACAAACAAACUUGGUAGUCUCAUGCCUGGGAGAUACGGAAGAUGGAAAAUUCUGGAAGACCAAUAGGCACUGAUGAAUUUCUACAUCUGGGCAUUUCUUGAGGGAGAGAGGGCCUGGCUAUUUGGAGAUGGAAAAUGUGGUGACCUAGAAUGAGCAGGCCCAGUCUAGACUAACCUCUUUAUUUAACCAACUGAAUAGUCUUGGUUCCAGACUUCUGUGGAACCUCAGAUUUGCCUUCUGUAUAAGAGGAGUUUGUACUAAUCCCUCUAGUCUUUUUCAGUUGGUUGUGUGUGACCAGCCCUAGCACUUAAAUACCCUGCUGAAUAUACAGAAAAGUAGAAGAAUUAUUUUAAAAUUAGGUCACUUAUCUUACUUGAAUACUACAAGUCUCACACUAUAACCUCUUCUAGAAAUCAGGCUGAACUAGCAAAUACAUAAAGACUAAUAUAAGUGCAUUUCAGUAAAAUCACUGGUGAAGUACAUUUAUGAUCAUUCUUUUUAGGCUUCUGAUAUGGCAAAUUAGAGGUAAGUAUUUCGAUUAAGUCUUCAUCCUUUUGGCAAACAAGUAUAUGGUUCGAUAUACUUGGUGAUGGUGAAUGAAGCCCUUAGUUUUUCACUUCUUCGUGCCUUAAUAAAAUCUUCGAGGCAAGCCCAAACCAGCAGGGCUGCAGCAUUAUCAGCAAUGAGAAUGGAUCUUAAGGUCAACAGUCAUGCUAUAAAACUCAACAUGAAGACAUCAUUAACAGGCUGAAGACUGUGAGUCUUAAAGUCCUGAAGUAGGCAGGUUUUAGGAGGUGGAAUCAGCGUCCUCUGGGUGGAACAGGUGGAG